Molecule: long non-coding RNA, 753 nt
Organism: Oncorhynchus tshawytscha (Chinook salmon)
Lineage: Eukaryota; Metazoa; Chordata; Actinopteri; Salmoniformes; Salmonidae
Exons: 2
Source: RefSeq, a predicted model, not a curated record
UCAGACGUGUUGUCAGAUGCACAGUAUCAUCAGCGUCUCUGUCCCUGUUUGGUCAAAGGAGAGAACUCGACGAAGAAAUCAUUGGGGCAUGCACUAAACAUCCACCUUUUCAACUAGAGGUCUGGUCACAAAGGUAUGACAUGAUAUUGUUUCAUGGUUUUAUUGAUAAUUCAUUCAAUUGACAUAACAAAUCUGUACAACUUUGGAAUACAUUAUACAGUAUAAUGUAUUGAUAUUUCCAAAUGUAAUGGCUCUUGUUGUUUCUAUUGGAUUUGUGGUUUCACAAAAAGUAUCAAUGGAACUGUUAUCUACCCUAAACAAACAUUUGAUAGUGGGAAGUCCUGGAUACUCCACUGGUUACAGUCAAGUACACCAAAACAAAAAAGGCUCGUCGUCUGCAACUGUGAGAGAAGGCCCCCCACUUAGUGUAUUUGACAAGCUGAGUUGGACACUCAGUAUGACAGGGUGUCAGUUUGUCAAAUACCCCAAGUGAGGGGUCACUUGUCUGCUGAGCAUCUCCCACCAGACUGACUUCAAAGAAGAUCACUUCAUAAACCUUCAAGUGACUUUCACUGUUACCCCGUUAGGCUUUCUCUGGCAAAACAUUUGAUUGUGUGAAAAUGUACUGUGAUGGUGUACAUGAUCUUGCACUGUCACUAAUGUCUCAUGUAUUUGUGUAAGUUUGUAUGAUGACACUUGGUACACUGUGUAACAAAUGUGUGUGUCCCUGUAUUAAAUAAUGUACUGGGUAAA